RNAcentral lists this ribosomal RNA (270 nucleotides) under uncultured archaeon. RNAcentral's name for it is "partial 16S ribosomal RNA". It matches the Rfam family "Archaeal small subunit ribosomal RNA", at positions 477 to 747 of the family's 1478-position model. The record is from RNAcentral.
CAGCACCUCAAGUGGUCAGGAUGAUUAUUGGGCCUAAAGCAUCCGUAGCCGGCGCUGUAAGUUUUCGGUUAAAUCUGUACGCUCAACGUACAGGCUGCCGGGAAUACUGCAGCGCUAGGGAGUGGGAGAGGUAGACGGUACUCGGUAGGAAGGGGUAAAAUCCUUUGAUCUAUUGAUGACCACCUGUGGCGAAGGCGGUCUACCAGAACACGUCCGACGGUGAGGGAUGAAAGCCAGGGGAGCGAUCCGGAUUAGAUACCCGAGUAGUCC